This 1088-nucleotide small RNA is filed under the name Malus domestica (apple). RNAcentral's name for it is "sRNA MD09G0232800". Lineage: Eukaryota; Viridiplantae; Streptophyta; Magnoliopsida; Rosales; Rosaceae. The record is from RNAcentral.
AUGAACAUGUUUAUUUCCCUCGUUCAAACAUAGUUGGAAUUUAAAUUUUCGUGAAUGUGCUUGUCCAUAAACAAAAGUUGGGUGUAAACAAAAUUUCUCUUUUCUAUAUUCUUCCUAAAUUUUAAGUUGGGACCUUAUUUAAAUAGCCCAUUUUAGAUGCUAUAGCAGCGGACUUAACGAUGUCUCCUCCCUCUUUAACCGGCUAAGAGAGUUUCAUUCAGCCUCUUUUGGACUUUAUGGAUUUAUGUUGUCUCACAACUUAAAUCCAUGGGCCCCAAUUGGGUCUAGGCCCAAUGAACUUUGAAAUCCGUGACUAAUUUCAAACCCAAAUGAAUUCCCAAUGUUUGUACUUUGUAGGAUUAAUCGACUUUUAUUUCAAUCUCUUCAUUUAAUGAAUUAACUAUUUUAAUUGAUCUUAACUAUUCCAACAAAAAAAAAAAAACUGAUCUUAACUAUCCUUGUUAAUUUCUUCAAUCUAUUUCUCAAACGGGUGUAGAUCCAUAAUAUUUUAAUUAGCAAGGCAGUGAGUAAUACCUUUUUUCUUCAAAGAUUAGUAAAUUAAAAUAAAUUCUAAUUCUCACAUGUCACGAAUGAUGCCAAGUAGUAUGUUGUUAUUAUCAAAAUUUAUUUAGUUAAACUACAAUACAAUACAAUACAAUAUUUCUCUCAAAUCAAUACUCUAUGUCACAUUGAUCUAGGCUAUCAUGUCGUAGGCCUAAGGCGAUCCAUCUAUGAUUCCCUUAAAUGUGAUUAUCAUUUCUCAUUCUUUUUCUUUUUCUUUUCUUUUUUGUCAAACAUUGUUUUUGUUAAAGUACUAUUUUUUUAGUGCAAUGAGAUGAGACCAAGUCUUGACAUAUUAGUUGCAACGCAAUAAUUGCAUAUGGUUGCGGCAACUUUGAGCUUUUUGUAUAUUAAUGUAUUAUACAGAAAGGGUUGUUAUUGACAAUCUAAAAGGCAUCAUGUUGUAUGCUAUUAAAUAAUAUCCACUAUUAUUGUAACGCCUUAGAUUUAGAAUCGGCGGAACAAUUAAAUUCCCGAACUCGAUGCGUGGAUAAAAAAUAAAAGAAAAAAAAAGAAAACAAACAUCU